This 480-nucleotide ribosomal RNA is filed under the name uncultured Desulfobulbus sp. RNAcentral's name for it is "bacterial SSU rRNA". It matches the Rfam family "Bacterial small subunit ribosomal RNA", at positions 906 to 1382 of the family's 1533-position model. The record is from RNAcentral. Lineage: Bacteria; Pseudomonadati; Thermodesulfobacteriota; Desulfobulbia; Desulfobulbales; Desulfobulbaceae.
GGAAUUGACGGGGCCCGCACAAGCGGUGGAGUAUGUGGUUUAAUCGAUGCAACGCGAAGAACCUUACCUGGUCUUGACAUCCCGGAGACCCUUAGGAAACUAGGGGGUGCUUCCAUCUGGAAGAAUCUGGAGACAGGUGCUGCAUGGCUGUCGUCAGCUCGUGUCGUGAGAUGUUGGGUUAAGUCCCGCAACGAGCGCAACCCUUGCCUUUAGUUGCCAGCAGUUCGGCUGGGCACUCUAAAGGGACUGCCGGUGUUAAACCGGAGGAAGGUGGGGAUGACGUCAAGUCCUCAUGGCCUUUAUGACCAGGGCUACACACGUACUACAAUGGCCGAUACAAAGGGCAGCGACACUGCGAGGUGAAGCCAAUCCCGUAAAAUCGGUCUCAGUCCGGAUUGGAGUCUGCAACUCGACUCCAUGAAGUUGGAAUCGCUAGUAAUCGUGGAUCAGCAUGCCACGGUGAAUACGUUCCCGGGCCUU